AUGAUGAAGAUACAGAUGCCCUUGACUUUUAAUUACAAUUUAAAGGUCAGAUAAGGGAGCUGUUAAUGAGGCAAUAAAAUAUCCACAAAUAAUGAAGGGUUUUGGCAUUAUCUGUUCCAGGGGGAGAUUGUUGGGAUUGAACCCUAUCAGAGGAAUAGAUAAUUAAAGCCAAAACUGGAUCAGAGCAGUGGAUUCUGUAUAAGCAGAUGUUGAUAUACAAAUCUCUCCCCUUGAAAGUGAUUACAACUACUGAUGACCUCCUAUCUGCUGAUCUUACCAAACUGCUGACUCAUAACUGCUGCUCAACUAAAGAUCUGAUGGAAGACUAAAGUCCUGCUGAUUCAAUCUACUGCCUUGAGUCAAGCACUGCUGAUCCGGACAAGUGCUGCUGGGUUCACAGCAGUAGAAGGUUGCAGCAGCUGUUCUAAAAUCUGUUUUGUAAUAGAAUGUAUUAGCAGUAGUUAGCACAAGCAGUGUCUGUAUAGAUCAAAGGUUAGAGUUUGUUAGGAGGUUAGAUGUCACUUUCAUGGUGACGUCAGCAAAGAUGCUCAGUAGCUUGCAACUCUUUGCAUCAUUCGUCUUCUUUGCAUGAACAAACUACUGAGCUCGGGCUGAGGGGGAGUUUGCAUUCAUACAUCUAUCUUUGUAAUCGUUGUUGAAAUUAAAUUCAAUCAUUCGGUUCAUAGUGUAAAAGAUGUUUGAUUAAAGUAUUACUCUCAUUUGAUUGUAUGCAAAGUUUGCUUUCAUUUUAAUUCCGCUGCACAACUCAUCCAUUUUCAUCUUAACUUCAAACACAAAAUACAAUCAAAAAGAAACUCAGAUCCAACAAAUCGAAUUAAGUCCCAUAAGGGCAUUUUGGUAAUUUUAAUGCUCAUAAAAGAGUUUAAAUGUUAAACUGAGUUUCAGGUCUGAUCUAAUCAGUAAAAAUAUGUAUUUUUAUAAUUUAUAAUAGUAGGGUAUUUUAUAUAUGUGAAAUUUAUCUUAUAUAACCAAACUAUACACCGUAGGGGCAUUUUGGUAAUUUCAUAUAAGUUUUAAAGGUCAAAAUAGACUUCUGAGUUUACAAACUUUGGCUUACUAUUUAAUUAUAUAAAUUAACUUAAAACAUCAGUAGGUAAUAGGUUUUAUAUGACAAAAAUAGUUUUGACCCAUACUAGGUGCAUACAACGCUUAAAAGUCGGUUUUAAGGGAUAUUCGGGUUAAAAUAGGAAAUCUGAGUUUUUGAUCAGUUUAUAAAGUUCAAAAUAUUUAUUUAUCAUAUAAAAUCAGUAGCAAAAAGUUUGACAUCAAAAUGUUAUGUAAAACUCAUUUAUGCAUGAAAAGGGUAAAACCGACAAUUACCGAAAUCAAGCUAUAAUCCUAUGUUAUGCU
RNAcentral lists this long non-coding RNA (1371 nucleotides) under Helianthus annuus (common sunflower). RNAcentral's name for it is "hypothetical non coding rna". The record is from RNAcentral. Lineage: Eukaryota; Viridiplantae; Streptophyta; Magnoliopsida; Asterales; Asteraceae.